RNAcentral lists this transfer RNA (97 nucleotides) under Clostridiaceae bacterium. Its description in RNAcentral is "tRNA-Sec". It matches the Rfam family "Selenocysteine transfer RNA". The record is from RNAcentral. Lineage: Bacteria; Bacillati; Bacillota; Clostridia; Eubacteriales; Clostridiaceae.
GGAGGUAGAAGGGUUCUGGUGUACCCUGCGGUCUUCAAAACCGUUGUGGGGAGUUAGGAGCUUCCCGGGUGAGUUCGAUUCUCACAUACCUCCGCCA